Chiroxiphia lanceolata (lance-tailed manakin) is the source of this 574-nucleotide long non-coding RNA. RefSeq lists it as uncharacterized. The transcript is spliced from 2 exons. Lineage: Eukaryota; Metazoa; Chordata; Aves; Passeriformes; Pipridae. The record is from RefSeq and is a predicted model, not a curated record.
CCCCGCCCGGCCCUCCCACGGCCCUGAAAAUCCUGGGGCCCGGGGAGCUACACCCGGACACCGAAAGUAAGACCCGAAAAGAGGGACGGGCCGAAAGGAGGUGUGAGAUCCAAGCUCUAGCCUUGAGCUUACCCUCACGAGCGCAGGGGAAAGGAGGAUUUGUCUGGAGAACCACAGCUGCUCCGUGGUAGAUACGUAGUUACAGUGCUGUCUGGCUUGUGAAGAGGAGACUCACCCAUUAAGCUUUCAUUUUUAAGGCUAACUUACACAUCCUGAAAAACGAAAAUAUUUUAAUGAAAAUACUGACAGACCCUUAAUUAUACAGCCACACUAACACCUACAAAAAAAGAAGCAACAUCCAUAACAGUAUUCUAAGCUGCAUUUUCACAAGUGAGACAAAUACAAUUUCCUAUUGAAGUAAUUUUGCUCUACCAGAAAAUAUGUUUAAUGACACUGUCUGGGUCUUGAAUUAAACAGCAGCUACAUAUGCAGCUGUUCUGUAUGCCCUGCAUCUUCACAAGGAAAGGAAGAGCCAUGUUGCUUUUAUUUAAAUAAUAAAACAUGUUUUUUUAAA